Molecule: ribosomal RNA, 1507 nt
Filed under: metagenome
Description: bacterial SSU rRNA
Rfam family: Bacterial small subunit ribosomal RNA
Source: RNAcentral
AGAGUUUGAUCCUGGCUCAGGACGAACGCUGGCGGCGUGCCUAAUACAUGCAAGUCGAGCGGACAGAUGGGAGCUUGCUCCCUGAUGUUAGCGGCGGACGGGUGAGUAACACGUGGGUAACCUGCCUGUAAGACUGGGAUAACUCCGGGAAACCGGGGCUAAUACCGGAUGGUUGUUUGAACCGCAUGGUUCAAACAUAAAAGGUGGCUUCGGCUACCACUUGCAGAUGGACCCGCGGCGCAUUAGCUAGUUGGUGAGGUAAUGGCUCACCAAGGCAACGAUGCGUAGCCGACCUGAGAGGGUGAUCGGCCACACUGGGACUGAGACACGGCCCAGACUCCUACGGGAGGCAGCAGUAGGGAAUCUUCCGCAAUGGACGAAAGUCUGACGGAGCAACGCCGCGUGAGUGAUGAAGGUUUUCGGAUCGUAAAGCUCUGUUGUUAGGGAAGAACAAGUGCCGUUCGAAUAGGGCGGUACCUUGACGGUACCUAACCAGAAAGCCACGGCUAACUACGUGCCAGCAGCCGCGGUAAUACGUAGGUGGCAAGCGUUGUCCGGAAUUAUUGGGCGUAAAGGGCUCGCAGGCGGUUUCUUAAGUCUGAUGUGAAAGCCCCCGGCUCAACCGGGGAGGGUCAUUGGAAACUGGGGAACUUGAGUGCAGAAGAGGAGAGUGGAAUUCCACGUGUAGCGGUGAAAUGCGUAGAGAUGUGGAGGAACACCAGUGGCGAAGGCGACUCUCUGGUCUGUAACUGACGCUGAGGAGCGAAAGCGUGGGGAGCGAACAGGAUUAGAUACCCUGGUAGUCCACGCCGUAAACGAUGAGUGCUAAGUGUUAGGGGGUUUCCGCCCCUUAGUGCUGCAGCUAACGCAUUAAGCACUCCGCCUGGGGAGUACGGUCGCAAGACUGAAACUCAAAGGAAUUGACGGGGGCCCGCACAAGCGGUGGAGCAUGUGGUUUAAUUCGAAGCAACGCGAAGAACCUUACCAGGUCUUGACAUCCUCUGACAAUCCUAGAGAUAGGACGUCCCCCUCGGGGGCAGAGUGACUGGUGGUGCAUGGUUGUCGUCAGCUCGUGUCGUGAGAUGUUGGGUUAAGUCCCGCAACGAGCGCAACCCUUGAUCUUAGCUGCCAGCAUUCAGUUGGGCACUCUAAGGUGACUGCCGGUGACAAACCGGAGGAAGGUGGGGAUGACGUCAAAUCAUCAUGCCCCUUAUGACCUGGGCUACACACGUGCUACAAUGGACAGAACAAAGGGCAGCGAAACCGCGAGGUUAAGCCAAUCCCACAAAUCUGUUCACAGUUCGGAUCGCAGUCUGCAACUCGACUGCGUGAAGCUGGAAUCGCUAGUAAUCGCGGAUCAGCAUGCCGCGUGAAUACGUUCCCGGGCCUUGUACACACCGCCCGUCACACCACGAGAGUUUGUAACACCCGAAGUCGGUGAGGUAACCUUUUAGGAGCCAGCCGCCGAAGGUGGGACAGAUGAUUGGGGUGAAGUCGUAACAAGGUA